GACGAACGCUGGCGGCGCUUCCUAACACAUGCAAGUCGAACGAGCGAGAGAGAGCUUGCCUUCUUGAGCGAGUGGCGAACGGGUGAGUAACGCGUGAGGAACCUGCCUCAAAGAGGGGGACAACAGUUGGAAACGACUGCUAAUACCGCAUAAGCCCACGACCCGGCAUCGGGUUGAGGGAAAAGGAGCAAUCCGCUUUGAGAUGGCCUCGCGUCCGAUUAGCUAGUUGGUGAGGUAACGGCCCACCAAGGCAACGAUCGGUAGCCGGACUGAGAGGUUGAACGGCCACAUUGGGACUGAGACACGGCCCAGACUCCUACGGGAGGCAGCAGUGGGGAAUAUUGCACAAUGGGGGAAACCCUGAUGCAGCGACGCCGCGUGGAGGAAGAAGGUCUUCGGAUUGUAAACUCCUGUUGUUGAGGAAGAUAAUGACGGUACUCAACAAGGAAGUGACGGCUAACUACGUGCCAGCAGCCGCGGUAAAACGUAGGUCACAAGCGUUGUCCGGAAUUACUGGGUGUAAAGGGAGCGCAGGCGGGAAGACAAGUUGGAAGUGAAAUCUAUGGGCUCAACCCAUAAACUGCUUUCAAAACUGUUUUUCUUGAGUAGUGCAGAGGUAGGCGGAAUUCCCGGUGUAGCGGUGGAAUGCGUAGAUAUCGGGAGGAACACCAGUGGCGAANGCGGCCUACUGGGCACCAACUGACGCUGAGGCUCGAAAGUGUGGGUAGCANACAGG
This 736-nucleotide ribosomal RNA is filed under the name uncultured bacterium. Its description in RNAcentral is "bacterial SSU rRNA". It matches the Rfam family "Bacterial small subunit ribosomal RNA", at positions 28 to 776 of the family's 1533-position model. The record is from RNAcentral.